Molecule: ribosomal RNA, 270 nt
Filed under: uncultured prokaryote
Description: partial 16S ribosomal RNA
Rfam family: Bacterial small subunit ribosomal RNA
Source: RNAcentral
UACGGAGGAUGCGAGCGUUAUCCGGAUUUAUUGGGUUUAAAGGGUGCGCAGGCGGGAGAUUAAGUCGGCGGUGAAAUUUUGCAGCUCAACUGUAAAAGUGCCUUCGAAACUGGUUUCCUUGAGUGUAGAUGAAGUAGGCGGAAUUUGUGGUGUAGCGGUGAAACGCAUAGAUAUCACGAGGAACUCCGAUUGCGCAGGCAGCUUACUAAACUACUACUGACGCUCAGGGCACGAAGGCGUGGGGAUCAAACAGGAUUAGAUACCCUGGUA